AACUUUCAACAACGAAUCUCUUGGUUCCGGCAUCGAUGAAGAACGCAGCGAAAUGCGAUAAGUAUGUGAU
This 70-nucleotide ribosomal RNA is filed under the name Talaromyces stipitatus ATCC 10500. RNAcentral describes it as "5.8S ribosomal RNA". It matches the Rfam family "5.8S ribosomal RNA", at positions 1 to 71 of the family's 154-position model. Rfam says of the family: 5.8S ribosomal RNA (5.8S rRNA) is a component of the large subunit of the eukaryotic ribosome. Lineage: Eukaryota; Fungi; Ascomycota; Eurotiomycetes; Eurotiales; Trichocomaceae. The record is from Rfam by way of RNAcentral.